UAAAAUUUAUAAAAUUAGGUAGUAAAGAAAUUUCUGAAACCUAAAGAAUUUGGCGGUAUUUUAAAUAAUUGGAGGAACCUGUUAUUUAAUUGACAAUCCACAGCAUAUCUUACCUAAAUUUUAUUUGUAUAUCGUCGUUUUGAUAAUAUUUAAAAAUAAUAAUCAAUUUUAAUAAAUUUUUAAAAUUCAGAUCAAGGUGCAGUAUAUUUAGGUUAUAAUGGGUUACAAUAUAUCUAUAUAAAAUGAAUAUAAAAUUGAAAUUAUAUUGAAGGUGGAUUCAAAAGUAAAAUUAAAUUAAAAAGUUAAUUUGAUUAAUAAUUUAAAAUAUGC
Molecule: ribosomal RNA, 330 nt
Filed under: Paravaejovis confusus
Lineage: Eukaryota; Metazoa; Arthropoda; Arachnida; Scorpiones; Vaejovidae
Description: partial 12S ribosomal RNA
Source: RNAcentral